RNAcentral lists this ribosomal RNA (472 nucleotides) under uncultured bacterium. RNAcentral describes it as "bacterial SSU rRNA". It matches the Rfam family "Bacterial small subunit ribosomal RNA", at positions 440 to 912 of the family's 1533-position model. The record is from RNAcentral.
ACGGGGGGUGAAUAAAUUCCCUGNGGCUGACGGUACCGGCUAAAGGAAGCCCCGGCUAACUCCGUGCCAGCAGCCGCGGUAAUACGGAAGGGGCAAGCGUUGUUCGGAAUCAUUGGGCGUAAAGGGCGUGUAGGCGGUCUCAUGUGUCCGCUGUGAAAGAACACGGCUCAACCGUGUGGAGCGGCGGAAACUGUGGGACUUGAGGCUGGGAGGGGCUGGUGGAAUUCCCUGUGUAGCGGUGAAAUGCGUAGAGAUGGGGGAGAACACUCGUGGCGAAGGCGGCCAGCUGGACCAGUUCUGACGCUGAGACGCGAAAGCGUGGGGAGCAACACAGGAUUAGAUACCCUGGUAGUCCACGCCGUAAACGAUGGGCACUAGGUGUCGGCGGUCUUGAUCCCGUCGGUGCCGGCGCUAACGCAGUAAGUGCCCCGCCUGGGGAGUACGGUCGCAAGGCUGAAACUCAAAGGAAUUG